RNAcentral lists this ribosomal RNA (508 nucleotides) under Sinopodisma tsinlingensis. RNAcentral's name for it is "partial 16S ribosomal RNA". It matches the Rfam family "Archaeal large subunit ribosomal RNA", at positions 1921 to 2666 of the family's 2987-position model. Lineage: Eukaryota; Metazoa; Arthropoda; Insecta; Orthoptera; Acrididae. The record is from RNAcentral.
GUCCUCUUGAUUAUAUUUUGAGGUCUGGCCUGCUCACUGACGCAGUUUUAAAGAGCCGCGGUAUUUUGACCGUGCAAAGGUAGCAUAAUCAUUAGUCUCUUAAUUAGGGGCUAGAAUGAAUGGCUUGACGAGAAAUCAUCUGUCUCUUAUUAAAUUAUAGAAUUUAACUUUUAAGUUAAAAGGCUUAAAUUUUUCUUUAAGACGAGAAGACCCUAUAGAGCUUAACAUUUUUAUUUUUAUAUAAUUUUUAGUUAAUCUUUUUAUAUAAAGAGAUAAUGUUUUGUUGGGGUGACAUGAAAAAUAAAUAAACUUUUCAUUCUUAAAUCAUUAAUUUAUGUUUAAUAUGAUCCAUAAUUUAUGAUCAUAAGAUUAAGUUACCUUAGGGAUAACAGCGUAAUUGUUUUUGAGAGCUCAUAUUGACAAAGCAGAUUGCGACCUCGAUGUUGGAUUAAGAAUAAUUUUGGGUGCAGAAGCCCAGUAAUUAGGUCUGUUCGACCUUUAAAUUCUU